UCAACAAUUUAGUCAUAUUAGACAAAUGCUGUUGUUGUGUAACCACCGUGAAAACAACUGUUAACUCGUUAUUAUAGUGAUAUAUAUUUUUGAAAACUGAAUUGACUUGUUAUCAAACUUUAAGGGUAUUGAAGUCUUAUAUUAGAACGGUUUUUGAUGUAAAGACAUUUUAAAAAGUUUUAGACACAUUAACAACAUUAUCUUCAGAACAUUAGAAAAAAUGUGUGACAACUAUAGUAUCUUUUUUAACUAUUUUUAACACCUUUAAAACGGAAUAUUGUACUCCAGCAAAUUUCAAAUAAGUAAUUGAAUUAUUUCCUCCAGAAAGUUCUGCAUCCAAAUUAACUGAUUAUGAUAGAAU
This is a non-coding RNA of Cinara cedri, 361 nucleotides long. The record is from the annotation of a GenBank genome assembly. NCBI's taxonomy places the organism in Eukaryota, Metazoa, Arthropoda, Insecta, Hemiptera, Aphididae.